AACUUAUUUUUCCUCAUACCUAUCUCACUCCCCCAUUCUUUUCCAUCAACACCUUGACCUCUUGAAUUGAUUUUAUGCCACCAUAUUCACCAUUGGUAUUGUAUCUGUACUUCCAUCACUACCCCUCUAAACCUUGGAUCUAUCUCUUUCCAUCAUUUGUUUGCCACAAACAAAGUGAUAACAAAUUUUCCUUUUAAUGCAUAUCACUCUCACUCUCCAUUUCUAUCUCUAUGUCUCAACCUCCAUCAACAUUACCUCCUCAACAUCAUGCACAUGGAUGAUGUGCAUCUCUCUCUCAUUGUUCAUUUUUGUUUGGCAAGAAUGGAGCCGGCCAAUUUGUGUUUGCAUUCAAAAUUCGGCCAGCACUAUCUCCCCUUUUCCUUCUUAUACAAGCCAUGCCUCCCACCUACCCCAAUCCAUAAAUGGGCAGCCUCCCAACCAACUCAAUCAAUGAGGAGGCUACCUCCCAACCAACUCAAUCAAUGAGGAGGCAGCCAACCCACCCCCUCUCCCUCUAUAUAAAGGGGCUUGGCAGCCCACUCCCUCCUCACUUGCUCUCAUUUCCCACUCUCCACUCCUCUCCACUCCUCUCCUUUGCCUCAUUUCUUUUCACUCCCUACUAUUUCCUCCACUCCCUCACACUCUCCUCCUCCACUUCCCCACGAAAAUGGUGCUCCCCUUGCUCCCAUGGCCGGCCAUAGCCAUGGCAAGCCACCAAGAUGAAGCUCUCCCCCUCCCUCAAACUCAUCCUCACCAUGAGAGCCUCCCUCUCCUUCUUCUCCCUAACCUUAGAUGGUUUAAUCUCCUCUUCUUCUCCCUCCAUUGCUAAGAUUGGAUCUUGAUGCAGGUGCAUGUUGGUCCAAGCAUGGAGAAGGUUGAGCUAUCCUCAGAUCUGAAGUUCUUGAGCAAAAUCCAAAUCGAGUGAUUCAAAUUUCUGCAGAUAGGGGAUGUUUGGUUUAUACUAUGGUGAUAACCGAGAGAGGCAAUUGCUAAGUUGUGAUACUCUCAUACCUUUACUAGACGCGAGCAAUUUCGGAGAAGAAGAAGAAGUGGAAUUGGACAAGGAUUUUAUUUAUAUUGUUGGGAUUCUUAUAUUGAUGGAGUUGAAGAAGUACAGGGACAAAUAAGCCAAGGCAAGCCAUCUUUUGAUCUCUGAUCCGGUGUCUAGUUGGAUGUCAUUUGUUGAUGUUCAAAGCGCCUUCAUUCUAUGUGUGUUAUUAUCUCUAUUUAUGUCAUCUAUGUGUGAUUGCAAGUGGGGUACUCCCUAGUGGUGAUGCUCCACUAUUGUCCUUGUGUUAUGGGAUGCAUGGUAACAUGGCCGUGCUAUUCCACUUGGUGAUCUUGUAUGCUCAACUUGAGCAUGUUCCAUCUCAAGAUAUUAACUUACACCACACCCAC
Non-coding RNA from Lolium perenne, 1398 nucleotides. NCBI's taxonomy places the organism in Eukaryota, Viridiplantae, Streptophyta, Magnoliopsida, Poales, Poaceae. The record is from RefSeq and is a predicted model, not a curated record.